AUACGGAGGGUGCAAGCGUUAAUCGGAAUUACUGGGCGUAAAGGGUUCGUAGGCGGUUAUUUAAGUCAGAUGUGAAAGCCCCGGGCUCAACCUGGGAAUUGCAUCUGAUACUGGGUAACUAGAGUUUAAGAGAGGAGUGUGGAAUUUCCGGUGUAGCGGUGAAAUGCAUAGAGAUCGGAAGGAACACCAGUGGCGAAGGCGGCUCACUGGCUCGAUACUGACGCUGAGGUGCGAAAGCGUGGGUAGCAAACGGGAUUAGAAACCCCGGUAGUCC
RNAcentral lists this ribosomal RNA (274 nucleotides) under uncultured bacterium. RNAcentral's name for it is "partial 16S ribosomal RNA". It matches the Rfam family "Bacterial small subunit ribosomal RNA", at positions 523 to 796 of the family's 1533-position model. The record is from RNAcentral.